GCAGACCUUGUUUAAAAGCAGCUCUAGAAGAUUAACACUAAAACCAGCAGUUUGGAAACGUGGUGAUUUUCACUGGAAUGCCCAUUCUGAGGCAUGCAGGGUCUGAGGGGAUCUUGCUGGUUAUCAGGCCUCCAUAUUUAUUUGGUUUCCUAAGCUUUUCCCGGUUUGUCAACAUCCUUUAGGUAAUUUUGCCACCAAAAAUAGGCAGAGAAUUCAAACACUUUGAAGCAAUCUGUUUCCUAUUGAGUUUUUCUUGCCCUCUCCAGUGAAACUUAUUUUUCUACUAAUAUCCUUUUUGCCUUCUACCAUCCAACUCAGGAGACCAACUGGGAAAGACCACCACAGCCAGCUUCAGUGUAAUAUCCCAGGACUUGGACUCGAUGAUCCUUAUGGGUCCCUUCCAACAUGGGGCUUUGUGCAAAUGUGAUCUGCCAACCUUGCGUGCCACUGCUGGCACUCGGUGCUUCAAUCUGCCAACAAGAUGCAGCAACACCUGAGUGCAUCUGUCCCUGUUUACAGCAGCCCAGUGGGACGGGCAGCUCAGUGCCCCAGAACUUGUGCUGCCUUUACCUGCAGGACAAGAGAACCAUCCUUUGUAACCCCAGACAUCUGCAUGUUUCUUCAUACUCGUUUAUGUUUUUAUCUCUGCUAUUUCCCUAAAUGCACAUAAGCAUAUGCUUUUAACAUACGCAUUUAUAUAUUAGGUAAAACAAACCUCUGUCUUAAAAAGCAGCAGAAGCUAACUUCCCACAGGCAACAUCCACUUCCCUUACCUGCUUGUGUGAACAGUCCAUAACUACCCAUUCCCUUUCCUCCUGAAAUGCACAGAGCAUAAGCAGUGCUCAGGUUGUGUUCUCUGUGUGUCUAUCAAAUGCUCACCUCACCAAACACUCAGACUAUCAUCUUCUUCCUUUUCUCUGACCCAACUCCAUCUCAGUGCCCAAAUCCCAGGGCUGCUCCUUCCUUUCUCACCCUGCUGUGUCUCACCCAGUCUCCCAUGUUCACCCUCAGCGAUGGCAGGAGCUGCUUUCCCCAUCCAUCCCUCUCAGCUCUCCAUUUCCUCUGCUCUUCCAAGGGAGCCUAAAGCUGUGAUGAUAAUUGGGGCUCCUUCAACAAGUCCAAGGGGGGUGAACCAGGCCACAGAGCCAACAGGGAGUCCCCAAAUUCCUUAGCUGUUACAGCAGACUUCUCAUUGUUACCCAGGCAAGCAACUUAACCCCCUACCCUCCUUCUAGCAAGCGUGAGCUAAUCCUGCACAAUAAAAUCUUCCUCCCUUGGAGGAGUGCA
This 1287-nucleotide long non-coding RNA is filed under the name Coturnix japonica (Japanese quail). RNAcentral's name for it is "lncRNA (ENSCJPG00005012230.1)". Lineage: Eukaryota; Metazoa; Chordata; Aves; Galliformes; Phasianidae. The record is from RNAcentral.